Long non-coding RNA from Felis catus (domestic cat), 5878 nucleotides. RefSeq lists it as uncharacterized. NCBI's taxonomy places the organism in Eukaryota, Metazoa, Chordata, Mammalia, Carnivora, Felidae. The transcript has 17 exons. The record is from RefSeq and is a predicted model, not a curated record.
UUUAUAUUUCCUAUUUUAUAACUAAAGGAAUAGGGGGCACAGAGAAGAAGCAACUUGACUGAGCCAAAGGCCUUGCAGCUGAUUAGGGAUAGAGCUGGGGUGUUCUGACCCCUUGGCAAUUUUUCUUCCUCCAUACUGCUCUGAAGACUGUGGAAGGGAACUGCACUUGAACCUGGCGCCAAAGGAUUCCCAGCUGAUAAGUAACCAAAGGAAACAGCGUGGCUGAAGUCCAAUUAAAAGUUAAAAUCCCACUGGGCAAUCUCUCCUUAACUGACGACAGGAAUUGCUGUCACUGCCCUGUCUCGCCACUUUGCAAACAGCAGGGAUGUUAGCGAGAGCUCACGGUGAACAGCGAAUGCUUCCCAAGGGAGCGGUGAUUGCUUUGGCUGGAUUCUGCCGUGGCUUUUUUCUGGUGAUGAAGAGGCUGUAGUCAGCCAAUCAGGGGCGGUAACCAUUUUCUAAUAACCACCUCAGGCUUUUGGCACCAAAUUCUCUGGCACUGUCUGGGGAAGCUCUUUGUGCUACUUCAUGCUACUUGUCAAGUCAAGCUGUUUGUCUCAUUUUUCUGGGAAACUGGACGCUUCCCGUCAAAUCGCUCACCUCAGUGGGAUCCAGCCAGCAAAGUACUCCAAGAGGGUGCUGAUUGUCUGUGACAUGUUUUCAAAAAUGACCCCAGUUUGUAUGGCUUUCCUAUGGUCCCAUGUUGUGUGAAAUCAGGAUGUGGUCCUGAGUUAAUGACAUAAGGAAGCACUCUGAUGCUUGUAUUGCCUUCUUGGUUUUCUCGAACCUCACAUGGACUGGCUUCAUCCUGUGCGGGAGUCCAUAGCUCUGCACCUUCCCUCUCCACUUCCUGUGCAGGCCUUCCUCUGGUUUGUGGGCUGUUAGGCGUCAUCUUGUUCCUUCAAGGCUCACACUGAGCCGCUGGUCAGAGUUUUUGUGGGUGGUUUCUGCUGCCUGCUUAUCAUCCAACCCCAGUCUCCGGUGUUCCUUCCCAGUUUUUAAGCCUGCAAUAGCUCUUUCCCAGUUUGUCUAUAGCUUGCCCUUUCAACUCUCCCUCCUGCCUUCAUGGUAGGUAAGGAGGAGUUACCCUCCUUUUCCAAACCUUGAUUUUGCAAUACCGUCAUUUUUGCCGAAUUGUGUUUCUAAGACUAAUGUAAGUAUGUUAAACUUGGUAUCGGUUUGAUGACUUCGUCAAGAUUCCUUGCCAGGUUGUGUGUGUGUGUGUGUGUGUGUGUGUGUGUGUGUGUGUGUGUGAAAGAAUCUGCCUAAAAUCUUUGCUAAUCUAGUUUUCUCCUAAAUGCAGUUACACGUAAUGCCUCCUAAAACAAAUUCUCUACAUUUGUCAUUUGGCAGCCUCCUGCUGUCACUCUGGAGCAUUAAUAAGUCUGAAGAUAAGUCUUCAUAACAGAGGCAUUGCAUGUGGCCCUGAGGAUGUAAAGUUGAAUAAGGAUGUUCCUGCCUUUCAAAUGCCAAUAAUCCUUGGAGAAGAUAUGCAAACAUGUGAACACUAUACAAUAUGAUAUGCAUGCCCUUCAAGGUAACUGAGAAGGUUUAAGUACAAUCGAGUGGUCAGUUUCACUUGAGGGGAGGGCUGUAAUCAGGGAAGAUUUCCCAGGGAAAAGUUUGGUGCAGUGGGUAUAAACACUUUUCGGAGAGAUAAGGAAGAAUCAAGGCAUCUAAGACAGAGGGAAGACUGUGUACAAGGGCAGAGGGACCUGUGACGACAGAGUACAGGGAAGAAGCUACAGUCGGGCAGAACUAAAGCGUGGGGCACAUGAUGAAGUGCCUGUUAUUUGUCAUGGCAAUGGCAGUAGGAGUCUAAGUUUCCUCCAAACAGUUAACUUAUUCUUAUACCCUAAGAUAGACAUUAACAGAAGCUCACAGAACCAGAAAUCAAUGCACAUGUAAGUGACUUAAAAGGUAUUUUGUCCAGUGUAGUUGUUGACUUUGCCUGACCCAAAGGACUUGAGUUGGGAGCACAUAGGCCUAGAGUAGCUGACAGCCAUCUUGUGACACACGGGGCCUGAAAGCAGAGCCAGUUUAUAGGAACAUAAGAGAGAGAUGGGAGAAAAUUAGAUCCUGGUGACGUUAUUCAAGCCGCUGGAUUAAGCCACACCUGAAACAGGUGCAUUUCUAAAUUCUUCAGUUACAAGAGAUAAGUCAGUUUGCAUUUUUUGCUGAAGUCAGUUUGAUACAUAUAUAUAUAUAAUAUAUAUGUAUAAAUGUACAUAUAUAUGUACCUAUAAAUUAUAUGCAUGUAUAUAUUUUUGGUCAUUUGCAACCUAAUAGAUAUAUUUGGCCUCUUAAUUUACAGUUCAGGAGACUAAUUUUUAGUACGCUAAAGUGACUCACUAUCAAGUGGUUAGUCAAAAACUGAGACUAAAACUGAGGUCUCUUGACUCAGAGGCCAGAUUUAGGAAUAUCCAGCAUUUAAAAAGCAUAUGCUUGUGAAGACCUAAAUAUACAUGUAUCUAGAGAUCUGUUUUGAGGGAACCACAUAUUUGAGAGUGUGACUGAGUUUAGUUUUAAAAUGACAUUUCCAAGUGACAACAUUGCAGAAAGAGCAUCGCUUCAUGGUCUACUUGCCACUAAUCAUCAUUGUGACCUUGGGUGUAUCUCUGGGCCUGAGUUGCUCAUGGGAUGUAAUUAUCUUUAAUUCCUCUUCCAUUUCUAUGAUUUGAAGAAGAAGUACACUCAAUGUUCGAUUACCCAUGGUGGAUCUUACAUAUUCCUACAUACUCUGGGCUAACCUUCCUUCUGGAUUAUUUUUGAUAUUAUUGGGUUCAAUGCCACAAAUAUUUACUGAACACUGAUCAUGGGCUAGGGGUUGCAAAAGAGAGUAGUUAUUUCUAGUCAGUAUUACUUACAUACUUUUGUAUUCUCAGAUGCAAUUUGAUAUUGUUUGUAGCCCCAAACAAUCCAGGGAACGUGUGAUCCCAAACAAGAGCAGGGUUAGAGAGAGGGCUCGGCUUGACUCUGUGCAUCAGUAGGAGAAGUGAGACUGUUGUCGGCACUCAGAGGGAGGCACAGAGCAGAGUCCUGAGGAACACAGGCAAGUUGGAAAUACAUUUCCGUCUGAAACAGAAUUGGGGUUGAAUCAUAAGUCUUUAGAAGAUCAACACCAUACCUAUCACUGUGGAUACCUUUGGGUCCUUUAAAAAAAUUUUUUUUAACGUUUAUUUGUUAUUGAGAGAGAGAGAGAGAGACAGAGCAUGAGCAGGGGAGGGGCAGAGAGAGAGGGAGACACAGAAUCCGAAGCAGGCUCCAGGCUCUGAGCUGUCAGCCCAAAGCCGGACGUGGGGCUCAAACUCACAAACCGUGAGAUCAUGACCUCAGCCGAAGUCAGACACUUAAGCGACUGAGCCACCCAGGAAACCCACCUCUGGGUCCUUUAAGAGUGGUUGUCUCCAAGUUUGGUAACAAUUUACUAACAAUUUUCUUUGUAUGAUAUUAUAAGCACUUAAUUGGUUGAUGAACUCUUUUGGAUAAUUUUUUUUUUGUCAUAUAGCAAUUAAUGUGAUUCAUCCAAGUAAUUUUUUAGCUUGUAGUCCGUUUCUUAGCCUGUCCACAAACAGUUCUGUCAGCUGCACAGUGACCCGGAGUUCUGCAGCCCCACCUGAGUCUGGGGAAGGGGCAAAGACACUGGCUGGGCAGCUUGCUGGAGCCAGAUGCUGUCUCCUCUCUAACUACGUUGGCCAGUGUAACCCUGCACACGUGAUUGGCUCCCAGUAGUGCCUUCAAGUUAAAAUACAAGAUCCUGAGCAUGGCCUUACAGAAUCCUUCACCAGCUGACUGUUUCUCUAGCCUCAUUUCGUCUCUCACCAUGAUGCUGGCCUUGGCUUCCGGGUAUUCUGUCUGCAUUCACGUGGAACUGUCUGGGGGUUAGGGAGUUGAGACCUGGAAAGAUGAAAAGUGAUUUUCCCGAGCGCCUAGAUCAUUGUCCUCUUCAGCAUCACAGUAGCAAACAUUUGCUUGCCUAGUGCCAACUACUGAUCUGGGCACUUCCCACGUAUUACUGUUCCUGGAGAGAGGUUGGAGCUAUGGCUGCUGGACUAAGUUGAGAGAUACCACGAAAGGGAAGAGGAUCCCAAGAGAGUGUUGCAAGUUCUGACAGGUAGCAGCUUCACCUAUGGGGAGACAGGCUGGUUGUAAACCAGAAAACAGGUCAGGAACGCCUGAAAACUCUGCCCAUACAUUGUGAAGAACUUCCUGAGGAAGUUUCCUAAAUUGGACACCAAGUAUGAAGCGGACCCCUGGUGCCGGAUCUUGGUGUGCAAAAGAGGCAACUUGGACACAGAGACGGUGCAGAGAUGGCCAUGUGAAGACACAGACACACAAGGAGAAUGCCAUGUGAAGAAGGAAACGGAGGUUGGAAUGAUGUUUCUCUAAGCCAAGGAAUGCCAAGAAUUCCUGACCAUCACGAAGCUAGGACAGAGGCAUGGAGCAGAUUUCUCUCAGCGCCCUUCGAAGAGAGAGGAAGCCAGCCACACCAAGUGAGGACAGCAGAAGUUUGGGAAGCCAGUGAGGAGGCAGAACCCAGAUGGGCAGAGAAGAGAAGCCAGCAUGGGGGAAAACCGAGGAUUGACAAGAAGGAGAAGGACGGCGGGGUGCUCAGCCGUCGGUAGCCGCAAAGUUGCUAAAGCAGGAGGAGGGAAAGAAAGCAAGCACUCGAGAUUACUGCUGGAAGCUUGGCUGCUUCCCCAAGUGUGUUUUCAGCUGUGUUUCAGUCCUCCUAGCUGCACUGGGCCCCAAUUUUCCCUGGUGAAUCAUGCCUUCCCAAUUAGGACCUGUCAUUUGAAGUGUACCAGACUACCACUCAAGGUGACUAACCAAGGAACAGCCCCACACCUUCCCAUCUCCUGGAAGAAAUGCUAACAAACAAUGAAACUCUUAUAGUAGGACAUCAAUGAUACAUCUUAACCGUCUAUUAUGGGUACGAAUUAUUGUCAAGAGAUGGAGAAGUAUAUAGUCUUGUGUGCCUCUUUGUCACGUGUCAAUACUGGAAAAGAAACUGAUCAUUAUUAGAAGAAGGAAGAAAAUACAGUCAAACUCUAGGUGACUGCAGCAUUGGCUGACAGCAAGACUGAAACCUCCUGUGAGACCCUGAACUCCUGUGAGAUGCUGAACUACUCAGAAUACUGAGGAUACUUGGAUGAAGAUGCCCCAAGUUCCAGAAAAGAUCUCGUGUUUCAUUUUGACAAGAUCCUGGAGUGUUACCAACCUAGAGGCACAUUUAAUUAAAUAUAUUUGCUUUCAUGUUCCAGAGCUUCCCAGAGUGCAUGCUGAUGAAGCACCACGAGGGCUGUUUCCACUGCCUCUGUAUCUUCAAGAAGACUGGGUCGAUCCUGUUCAUCAGGGCAAUUCCUGGAGCUGGUUUCUGCAGAGGUCGUUUGUUCCCGUUGAACUACUCAGUACCACCCUAUCCCUAAGAGCCCAGGAGUCAAAGAACCUGGACACUUGAUGACUUCGCUGGCUAGAGCAAUGCCCCUAGUGCUUUGAAUGCUUUCCUUUGGCACUCACUGUUCCCAAGUGACCUGACACAAUGGCUUCCAAGAAAAGGCAACUGUGACUCUUCGGGCUUCCUGGCCUCUCUCCACCACCAGCUAUGCAUGAGCUAAUAAUGCCACUCCCUCUUCCCCCAGCAGUCUUCAACCAAAUGAUUGAGGGAAGUAGAUAAAUGAUUCAACUUCUUAACCUUUGGGAUAACUCGGAGAUACAAUCUACUCUUUUGAACUUUCGUAGUCGGACUGAACCCCAGUUACUUGCAGUCAUUACCUGCUCAAUAAUACUCCAGUUGAUGGCUUCCUUUCUUUUUCUGGCUUGUUUUGCUUCCUCAUUUCUCUGCCAACGAUAUCCCACAAAUAAACCAUAAACCUGU